GACGUAGGGCGCGAGCGUUGUCCGGAUUUAUUGGGCGUAAAGAGCUCGUAGGCGGCUUGUUGCGUCGGCUGUGAAAUCCCGUGGCUUAACUGCGGGCUUGCAGCUGAUACGGGCGGGCUGGAGUUCGGUAGGGGAGACUGGAAUUCCUGGUGUAGCGGUGGAAUGCGCAGAUAUCAGGAGGAACACCGGUGGCGAAGGCGGGUCUCUGGGCAGUAACUGACGCUGAGGAGCGAAAGCGUGGGGAGCGAACAGG
This 253-nucleotide ribosomal RNA is filed under the name uncultured bacterium. RNAcentral's name for it is "partial 16S ribosomal RNA". It matches the Rfam family "Bacterial small subunit ribosomal RNA", at positions 524 to 776 of the family's 1533-position model. The record is from RNAcentral.